Molecule: small nuclear RNA, 26 nt
Filed under: Arabidopsis thaliana (thale cress)
Lineage: Eukaryota; Viridiplantae; Streptophyta; Magnoliopsida; Brassicales; Brassicaceae
Description: snRNA_12276
Source: RNAcentral
GAGCCUCUCUCCGAGACAGUGCCCAG